RNAcentral lists this ribosomal RNA (497 nucleotides) under uncultured bacterium. RNAcentral describes it as "partial 16S ribosomal RNA". It matches the Rfam family "Bacterial small subunit ribosomal RNA", at positions 28 to 507 of the family's 1533-position model. The record is from RNAcentral.
GAUGAACGCUGGCGGCGUGCCUAAUACAUGCAAGUCGAGCGAACAGACGAGGAGCUUGCUCCUCUUACGUUAGCGGCGGACGGGUGAGUAACACGUGGAUAACCUACCUAUAAGACUGGGAUAACUUCGGGAAACCGGAGCUAAUACCGGAUAAUAUAUUGAACCGCAUGGUUCAAUAGUGAAAGACGGUUUUGCUGUCACUUAUAGAUGGAUCCGCGCCGCAUUAGCUAGUUGGUAAGGUAACGGCUUACCAAGGCAACGAUGCGUAGCCGACCUGAGAGGGUGAUCAGCCACACUGGAACUGAGACACGGUCCAGACUCCUACGGGAGGCAGCAGUAGGGAAUCUUCCGCAAUGGGCGAAAGCCUGACGGAGCAACGCCGCGUGAGUGAUGAAGGUCUUCGGAUCGUAAAACUCUGUUAUUAGGGAAGAACAAAUGUGUAAGUAACUAUGCACGUCUUGACGGUACCUAAUCAGAAAGCCACGGCUAACUACGUG